RNAcentral lists this ribosomal RNA (383 nucleotides) under uncultured cyanobacterium. RNAcentral describes it as "bacterial SSU rRNA". It matches the Rfam family "Bacterial small subunit ribosomal RNA", at positions 376 to 774 of the family's 1533-position model. The record is from RNAcentral. Lineage: Bacteria; Bacillati; Cyanobacteriota.
CGAAAGCCUGACGGAGCAACGCCGCGUGAGGGACGAAGGCCUCUGGGCUGUAAACCUCUUUUCUCAAGGAAGAAGAUAUGACGGUACUUGAGGAAUAAGCCACGGCUAAUUCCGUGCCAGCAGCCGCGGUAAUACGGGAGUGGCAAGCGUUAUCCGGAAUUAUUGGGCGUAAAGCGUCCGCAGGCGGCUUUUCAAGUCUGCUGUUAAAGCGUGGAGCUUAACUCCAUCAUGGCAGUGGAAACUGAAAGGCUUGAGUAUGGUAGGGGCAGAGGGAAUUCCCGGUGUAGCGGUGAAAUGCGUAGAUAUCGGGAAGAACACCAGUGGCGAAGUCUCUCUGCUGGGCCAUUACUGACGCUCAUGGACGAAAGCCAGGGGAGCGAAAG